UUGUGUUGUGUUGAAAUCAUUCUUACAGUUGUAUAAAUUUGACAGCACUAUGUUAAUUCAGUCACAUUUUGCUAAUUACUAACAUUUGAUUUUGAAAUGGUUUCAGAGAGCUGCAUAAACUUUGGAAAAGCUGGAUGAAUAGUUAAGAAUUGCUUCUCUGCAUGAUGAGACGAGGGAUCUGUAUAAAUUUUGGUAGAACCGGAAGAAUAUACUAAACCUAAUUCUAUUUAAUGAAGAGGGAGAUC
Molecule: long non-coding RNA, 245 nt
Filed under: Trifolium pratense (red clover)
Lineage: Eukaryota; Viridiplantae; Streptophyta; Magnoliopsida; Fabales; Fabaceae
Description: long non-coding RNA (TPRA_LNC005198)
Source: RNAcentral